CACAUGCAGUCGGGCGGUAACAGAGAUAGCUUGCUAUCUGCUGACGAGCGGCGGACGGGUGAGUAAUGCAUAGGAAUCUGCCUGAUAGUGGGGGAUAGCCCAGAGAAAUUUGGAUUAAUACCGCAUACGCCCUACGGGGGAAAGCCGGGGACCUUCGGGCCUGGCGCUAUCAGAUGAGCCUAUGUCGGAUUAGCUUGUUGGUGAGGUAACGGCUCACCAAGGCGACGAUCCGUAGCUGGUCUGAGAGGAUGAUCAGCCACACUGGGACUGAGACACGGCCCAGACUCCUACGGGAGGCAGCAGUGGGGAAUAUUGGACAAUGGGCGCAAGCCUGAUCCAGCCAUGCCGCGUGUGUGAAGAAGGCCUUCGGGUUGUAAAGCACUUUCAGCGAGGAGGAAAGGGGUGAUGCUAAUAUCAUCGCCCUGUGACGUUACUCGCAGAAGAAGCACCGGCUAACUCCGUGCCAGCAGCCGCGGUAAUACGGAGGGUGCGAGCGUUAAUCGGAAUUACUGGGCGUAAAGCGCGCGUAGGCGGAUAAUUAAGUCAGCUGUGAAAGCCCCGGGCUCAACCUGGGAACUGCAGUUGAUACUGGUUAUCUAGAGUACAGUAGAGGGUGGUGGAAUUUCCUGUGUAGCGGUGAAAUGCGUAGAUAUGGGAAGGAACAUCAGUGGCGAAGGCGGCCACCUGGACUGAUACUGACGCUGAGGUGCGAAAGCGUGGGGAGCGAACAGGAUUAGAUACCCUGGUAGUCCACGCCGUAAACGAUGUCAACUAGCCGUUGGGGGACUUGAUCCUUUAGUGGCGCAGCAAACGCAAUAAGU
RNAcentral lists this ribosomal RNA (821 nucleotides) under uncultured Gammaproteobacteria bacterium. RNAcentral describes it as "bacterial SSU rRNA". It matches the Rfam family "Bacterial small subunit ribosomal RNA", at positions 52 to 865 of the family's 1533-position model. The record is from RNAcentral. Lineage: Bacteria; Pseudomonadati; Pseudomonadota; Gammaproteobacteria.